AUGAACGCUAGCUACAGGCUUAACACAUGCAAGUCGAGGGGCAGCAUGGUCUUAGCUUGCUAAGGCCGAUGGCGACCGGCGCACGGGUGAGUAACACGUAUCCAACCUGCCGUCUACUCUUGGACAGCCUUCUGAAAGGAAGAUUAAUACAAGAUGGCAUCAUGAGUCCGCAUGUUCACAUGAUUAAAGGUAUUCCGGUAGACGAUGGGGAUGCGUUCCAUUAGAUAGUAGGCGGGGUAACGGCCCACCUAGUCUUCGAUGGAUAGGGGUUCUGAGAGGAAGGUCCCCCACAUUGGAACUGAGACACGGUCCAAACUCCUACGGGAGGCAGCAGUGAGGAAUAUUGGUCAAUGGGCGUAGGCCUGAACCAGCCAAGUAGCGUGAAGGAUGACUGCCCUAUGGGUUGUAAACUUCUUUUAUAAAGGAAUAAAGUCGGGUAUGUAUACCCGUUUGCAUGUACUUUAUGAAUAAGGAUCGGCUAACUCCGUG
Molecule: ribosomal RNA, 489 nt
Filed under: uncultured bacterium
Lineage: Bacteria
Description: partial 16S ribosomal RNA
Rfam family: Bacterial small subunit ribosomal RNA
Source: RNAcentral